AACGAACGCUGGCGGCGUGCCUAACACAUGCAAGUCGAACGCGAAAGCCCGCAAGGGUUAGUAGAGUGGCGCACGGGUGAGUAAUAUAUGGGCAAUCUGCCCUCGAGUGGGGGAUAACGUUCCGAAAGGAGCGCUAAUACCGCAUGACCCGAAUUGGACACAUGUCCUUUACGGCAAAGAUGGCCUCUGCUUGCAAGCUAUCGCUUGAGGAGGAGCCCGUAUCCCAUUAGGUAGUUGGUAAGGUAACGGCUUACCAAGCCUACGAUGGGUAGCCGGCCUGAGAGGGUGACCGGCCACACUGGCACUGACACACGGGCCAGACUCCUACGGGAGGCAGCAGUGAGGAAUUUUGGGCAAUGGGGGAAACCCUGACCCAGCGACGCCGCGUGGGCGAUGAAGGUCUUCGGAUCGUAAAGCCCUGUGAGUGGGGAAGAAGGGAUUGGUUGCUAAUAUCAGCCUAAUUUGACAGUACCCACAGAGGAACG
This 485-nucleotide ribosomal RNA is filed under the name uncultured bacterium. RNAcentral's name for it is "bacterial SSU rRNA". It matches the Rfam family "Bacterial small subunit ribosomal RNA", at positions 29 to 491 of the family's 1533-position model. The record is from RNAcentral.